AGCGAACGCUGGCGGCAGGCCCAAUACAUGCAAGUCGAACGGCGCUUCGGAGCAGUGGCUGACGGGUUAGUAAUGCGUGGGAAUGUGCCCUUAGGUACGGUACAACACAGGGAAACUUGUGCUUAUACCGUAUGUUCCCUUCGGGGGAAAGAUUUAUCGCCUUUGGAGCAGCCCGCGUUGGAUUAGGUAGUUGGUGAGGUAAAGGCUCACCAAGCCGACGAUCCAUAGCUGGUCUGAGAGGAUGACCAGCCACACUGGGACUGAGACACGGCCCAGACUCCUACGGGAGGCAGCAGUAGAGAAUCUUGCGCAAUGGGCGAAAGCCUGACGCAGCCAUGCCGCGUGUAUGAUGAAGGUCUUAGGAUUGUAAAAUACUUUCACCGGGGAAGAUAAUGACGGUACCCGGAGAAGAAGCCCCGGCUAUCUUCGUGCCAGCCGCCGCCGUAA
Molecule: ribosomal RNA, 447 nt
Filed under: uncultured bacterium
Lineage: Bacteria
Description: partial 16S ribosomal RNA
Rfam family: Bacterial small subunit ribosomal RNA
Source: RNAcentral